UACGUAGGUGGCGAGCGUUGUCCGGAUUUACUGGGCGUAAAGCGCGCGCAGGCGGUUCUGUAAGUCCUGGGUGAAAUCGCCCGGCUCAACUGGGCGGGGGCCUGGGGGACUGCGGGACUGGAGGGGCCUAGAGGCCGGUGGAACUCCCGGUGUAGUGGUGAAAUGCGUAGAGAUCGGGAAGAACACCAGUGGCGAAGGCGGCCGGCUGGGGGCGCCCUGACGCUGAGGCGCGAGAGCGGUGGGGAGCGGAACCGG
RNAcentral lists this ribosomal RNA (255 nucleotides) under uncultured bacterium. RNAcentral describes it as "partial 16S ribosomal RNA". It matches the Rfam family "Bacterial small subunit ribosomal RNA", at positions 524 to 776 of the family's 1533-position model. The record is from RNAcentral.